Molecule: ribosomal RNA, 468 nt
Filed under: uncultured bacterium
Lineage: Bacteria
Description: partial 16S ribosomal RNA
Rfam family: Bacterial small subunit ribosomal RNA
Source: RNAcentral
GACGAACGCUGGCGGCGUGCUUAACACAUGCAAGUCGAACGGUGAUACUCCAGCUUGCUGGUGUGGAUCAGUGGCGAACGGGUGAGUAACACGUGAGCAACCUGCCCUAAACUUUCGAGUAGGAUCAGGAAGGGAGACUUAAGCCAGUAUCGGAAACGGCCCACCGGGGAAAGGAUUGGAAAGUUUUUCCGUUUUGGGUUGGAUGGGCGGCUUAUGGGCUUGUUGGUGGGGGAGGGGCUGGCCAAGGCAAGGACGGGUCCCCGGCCGGAGAGGGGGACCGGCGACCCUGGGACUGAGACACGGCGCAGACGCCUACGGGAGGCAGCAGUGGGGAAUAUUGCACAGUGGGCGCACGCCUGAUGCAGCGACGCCGCGUGAGGGAUGACGGCCUUCGGGUUGUAAACCUCUGUCAGCAGGGAAGAAGCGAUAGUGACGGUACCUGAAGAAGAAGCACCGGCUAACUACGUG